UCCGUAGGUGAACCUGCGGAAGGAUCAUUAAAGAUUCGGCCCUCGGGCUACUCUUUUCUUUGGCUGUGCGCCUUUGGGCUUGCACGCCAUUGAUAAAUCACACACACCCGUGCACCCACAUUUGGUUGUGGCAUUGUCCUCACGGAUGACGCUGCUACCAAAUCACAUUUAACUACAAGUCCAGAAUGUAAAAAAACUAUAAAGUAACAACUUUCAACAACGGAUCUCUUGGCUCUCGCAUCGAUGAAGAACGCAGCGAAUUGCGAUACGUAAUGUGAAUUGCAGAAUUCAGUGAAUCAUCGAAUCUUUGAACGCAUCUUGCGCUCCUUGGUAUUCCAUGGAGCAUGCCUGUUUGAGUGUCACGUAAACCCUCACACUUGCGACUUUAAAAUCGCGAGGCGUGGAAUUGGACCGUGCCGUAAUCGGCUCGUCCUGAAAUAUAUUAGCUUGGGCUUCGUUAGAGUGCUCGGCACUGGUGUGAUAAUUAUCUGCGCCACCGCCUUAGGCCUCUUCUGUUGAGGCGCUGGCUUCGGAAUCGGUCCUUUGGCGGGACAAUAUUACAUUAAGGCUUUGACCUCAAAUCAGGGGUAGGGGGACUACCCCGGCUGGGAACUUAAGCAUAUCAAUAAGCGGA
RNAcentral lists this ribosomal RNA (634 nucleotides) under uncultured fungus. RNAcentral's name for it is "eukaryotic LSU rRNA". The stretch from base 209 to 362 matches the Rfam family "5.8S ribosomal RNA". Lineage: Eukaryota; Fungi. The record is from RNAcentral.